AACGAACGCUGGCGGCAUGCCUAACACAUGCAAGUCGAACGAGACCACCGGGAGUAGUGGCGCACGGGUGUGUAACGCGUGGGAAGCUGCACUUAGGUUUGGAAUAACUCUCUGACAGGGGUGAUAACAUCGGAUAACGUAUUCGGACAAAAGAUUUAUCGCGGUUGGGUGUGCACGCGUUGGUUUAGCUUGUUGGUAGGGUAAAAGCCUACCAAGGCGACGCUCCAUAGCUGGUCAGAGAGAAAGGGCCGCCACACUGGGACUGAGACGCGGCCCAGACUCCUACGGGAUGCAGCAGUGGGGAAUAUAGGACAAUGGGCUAAGGCAUGAUCCAGCUAGGCCGCGAGAGUGAUGAAGGCCUUAGGGAAGUAAAGCUCUUUUACCCGGGAUGAUAAUGACGGUACCGAGAGAAUAAGCACCGGCUAACUCCGUG
Molecule: ribosomal RNA, 433 nt
Filed under: uncultured bacterium
Lineage: Bacteria
Description: partial 16S ribosomal RNA
Rfam family: Bacterial small subunit ribosomal RNA
Source: RNAcentral